AGCGAACGCUGGCGGCAGGCUUAACACAUGCCAGUCGAGCGGGCACUUUCGGGUGUCAGCGGCGGACGGGUGAGUAACGCGUGGGAACGUGCCCUCUGGUUCGGAAUAACUCAGGGAAACUUGAGCUAAUACCGGAUACGCCCUUUUGGGGAAAGGCUUGCUGCCGGAGGAUCGGCCCGCGUCUGAUUAGCUAGUUGGUGAGGUAACGGCUCACCAAGGCGACGAUCAGUAGCUGGUCUGAGAGGAUGAUCAGCCACACUGGGACUGAGACACGGCCCAGACUCCUACGGGAGGCAGGAGUGGGGAAUAUUGGACAAUGGGCGCAAGCCUGAUCCAGCCAUGCCGCGUGAGUGAUGAAGGCCUUAGGGUUGUAAAGCUCUUUUAUCCGGGACGAUAAUGACGGUACCGGAGGAAUAAGCCCCGGCUAACUUCGUG
Molecule: ribosomal RNA, 435 nt
Filed under: uncultured bacterium
Lineage: Bacteria
Description: partial 16S ribosomal RNA
Rfam family: Bacterial small subunit ribosomal RNA
Source: RNAcentral